AGGGAAUAUUGCACAAUGGAGGAAACUCUGAUGCAGCGACGCCGCGUGAGUGACGAAGGCCUUCGGGUUGUAAAGCUCUGUUCUCUGGGAAAAAGAAAGUGAUUGUACCAGAGAAGAAAGGACCGGCUAACUUCGUGCCAGCAGCCGCGGUAAGACGAGGGGUCCAAGCGUUGUUCGGAAUUAUUGGGCGUAAAGCGGGUGUAGGUGGCUCUAUAAGUCAGGAGUGAAAUCCCCAAGCUUAACUUGGGAAGUGCUUUUGAUACUGCAGAGCUUGAAUGUGGGAGAGGAUAAUAGAAUUCCAGGUGUAGUGGUGAAAUACGUAGAUAUCUGGAGGAAUACCGGUGGCGAAGGCGGUUAUCUGGCCCAACAUUGACACUGAGACCCGAAAGCGUGGGGAUCAAAC
Molecule: ribosomal RNA, 403 nt
Filed under: uncultured bacterium
Lineage: Bacteria
Description: bacterial SSU rRNA
Rfam family: Bacterial small subunit ribosomal RNA
Source: RNAcentral